GUUGACCAAAUUCAAGAGGGAGCUCAAAGUAGCCGUUGCUAAUUUACCACAAGACCCCAACAUGCUUUGACUGUUAGGGAAGGGUCAACAGUAUAUACUAUGCCUUCGCAGUCAAGGGUAAUAUUUGGAGGAUGUCCUCUCGGAGGACAUCGCAUCGGUGUUGGGGGGGCAGGCUUACGUGGUGACCAAAGUAGGGCAAUGUAACAA
This 207-nucleotide long non-coding RNA is filed under the name Elaeis guineensis (African oil palm). RNAcentral's name for it is "long non-coding RNA (EGUI_LNC024413)". The record is from RNAcentral. Lineage: Eukaryota; Viridiplantae; Streptophyta; Magnoliopsida; Arecales; Arecaceae.